GAUGAACGCUGGCGGCGUGCCUAAUACAUGCAAGUCGAGCGAACGGACGAGAAGCUUGCUCCUCUGAUGUUAGCGGCGGACGGGUGAGUAACACGUGGAUAACCUACCUAUAUUACUGGGAUAAUUUCGGGAAACCGGAGCUAAUACCGGAUAAUAUUUUGAACCGCAUGGUUCAAAAGUGAAAGACGGUCUUGCUGUCACUUAUAGAUGGAUCCGCGCUGCAUUAGCUAGUUGGUAAGGUAACGGCUUACCAAGGCAACGAUGCAUAGCCGACCUGAGAGGGUGAUCGGCCACACUGGAACUGAGACACGGUCCAGACUCCUACGGGAGGCAGCAGUAGGGAAUCUUCCGCAAUGGGCGAAAGCCUGACAGAGCAACGCCGCGUGAGUGAUGAAGGUCUUCGGAUCGUAAAACUCUGUUAUUAGGGAAGAACAUAUGUGUAAGUAACUGUGCACAUCUUGACGGUACCUAAUCAGAAAGCCACGGCUAACUUCGUG
This 497-nucleotide ribosomal RNA is filed under the name uncultured bacterium. Its description in RNAcentral is "partial 16S ribosomal RNA". It matches the Rfam family "Bacterial small subunit ribosomal RNA", at positions 28 to 507 of the family's 1533-position model. The record is from RNAcentral.